RNAcentral lists this unclassified non-coding RNA (411 nucleotides) under soil metagenome. RNAcentral describes it as "partial contains 5.8S ribosomal RNA, internal transcribed spacer 2, and large subunit ribosomal RNA". The stretch from base 1 to 120 matches the Rfam family "5.8S ribosomal RNA", at positions 35 to 154 of the family's 154-position model. The record is from RNAcentral.
GAUGAAGAACGUAGCGAAAUGCGAUAAGUAAUGUGAAUUGCAGAAUUCAGUGAAUCAUCGAAUCUUUGAACGCACCUUGCGCCCCUUGGUAUUCCGAGGGGCAUGCCUGUUUGAGUGUCAUGUUAAUCUCAAACCACUCGUCUUUCUUAAUCGAAGGGCUUGCAGGUUUGGACUUGGAGGGUUACUGCUGGCGCCUCUCGAGGGGUCGGCUCCUCUUAAAUAUAUUAGCUGGGCUUUGGCUCGCGUUUACGGUGUAAUAGUUGAUUCCAUUCACCAACGCGCGCUUGCCUGAAGGGCCUGCUUCUAGCCGUCCGCGUCGUCGGACAAGGAGUUUUAUCUCCUUCUUGACACGUUUGACCUCAAAUCAGGUAGGAUUACCCGCUGAACUUAAGCAUAUCAAUAAGCGGAGGA